This 433-nucleotide ribosomal RNA is filed under the name uncultured bacterium. RNAcentral describes it as "partial 16S ribosomal RNA". It matches the Rfam family "Bacterial small subunit ribosomal RNA", at positions 29 to 507 of the family's 1533-position model. The record is from RNAcentral.
AACGAACGCUGGCGGCAUGCCUAACACAUGCAAGUCGAACGAGACCUUCGGGUCUAGUGGCGCACGGGUGCGUAACGCGUGGGAACCUGCCCUUAGGUUCGGAAUAACUCCCCGAAAGGGGUGCUAAUACCGGAUAAUGUCUUCGGACCAAAGAUUUAUCGCCUUUGGAUGGGCCCGCGUUGGAUUAGCUAGUUGGUAGGGUAAAAGCCUACCAAGGCGACGAUCCAUAGCUGGUCUGAGAGGAUGAUCAGCUACACUGGGACUGAGACACGGCCCAGACUCCUACGGGAGGCAGCAGUGGGGAAUAUUGGACGAUGGGCGAAAGCCUGAUCCAGCAAUGCCGCGUGAGUGAUGAAGGCCUUAGGGUUGUAAAGCUCUUUUACCCGGGAUGAUAAUGACAGUACCGGGAGAAUAAGCUCCGGCUAACUCCGUG